Non-coding RNA from Paramuricea clavata, 1475 nucleotides. NCBI's taxonomy places the organism in Eukaryota, Metazoa, Cnidaria, Anthozoa, Malacalcyonacea, Plexauridae. The record is from the annotation of a GenBank genome assembly.
UCCAGGUUUCUCCAGUUCUGGAUUGAGAUCAGUUUUUAUCUGCGCGUGCGCAUUAAGUGUUUUGUGGUCAAGCGCAUGCGCAUUUGCAACACAACAAUGGCGGUUCACGGAUUUCGAAAUACGACGAAGCAUGAACUUUGGAGAGGUUGUACUUCAAUUUGUGCAACUAUUUCGCUUGGGGGAAGUGGAUUCUAACUAAGUAAGUUCUAAUCUAUCCAUUCAUGUAAAAAUUAUGUAGUUACACGAGGGGUGCUACGGAAUUGAACAUUUUCGACCCUCAUCCGACGGCCUAAAGUUGCAGCAAUUUUGUUGCUCGUAUUACUCGAGCUUUAAAGCUUGUUUUCCACUAGGCGGAAUUUUCCACGUGGAGCGGAAUUUCUCUUUGUCCUUUCACAACUACAUUGUUUUCAACUAAGCCACCUUAAAUCACGCAGAACAUUUUUAGCGAACGUUAAUGGAAAACGGCCUUAAGAGUGCAGUUAGUUAAUAAAAAAAUUCAGAUCAAUCAUAGGGUACCCCUGCAGAAAUUUCAAACCAAUUUUUGCUAACCCCCUAAGGAAUUCCACAUGUGUCAUUUAUGGGGUUACUCUGGGUGUCAGAAGUUUUCAGGUUCCCCUAGCUAGGAAACUUUCUGAAGGCUCUUGAACCCAGGGUAUUAUCAGCUACCUUGCAGAAAUUCCAAAAUCAAAAUUUGAAGACCAUUAGGAAUUCCACAUCAACUUUAAUAGUACCCCUGAAGAAUUCCACUCACAUUAAUAAUUGGGGUACCCUAAAGAAUCUCAAGCCUUUUCAUCCCUGAAAAAUUCCAAGUUCAAAAUGCUUUACCCUUAAAGAAUUCCAAGCUCAAAACACUGUACCCUGAAGAAUUCCAAACUCAAAACACUGUACCCCGGAAGAAUUCCAAACUCAAAAUCCUUUACCCCUGAAGAAUUCCAAGCUCAAAAUACUGUACCCCUGAAGAAUUCCAAGCUCAAAACACUGUACCCCUGAAGAAUUCCAAGCUCAAAAUCCUUUACCCCUUAAGAAUUCCAAACUCAAAACACUGUACCCCUUAAGAAUUCCAAACUCAAAACACUGUACCCCUGAAGAAUUCCAAACUCAAAAUCCUUUACCCCUGAAGAAUUCCAAACUCAAAAUCCUUUACCCCUGAAGAAUUCCAAGCUCAAAAUCCUUUACCCCUUAAGAAUUCCAAACUCAAAAUCCUUUACCCCUGAAGAAUUCCAAGCUCAAAACACUUUACCCCUGAAGAAUUCCAAGCUCAAGACACUCUACCCCUGAAGAAUUCCAGGUAUCCUCGACAGGGGGGGUACGGAUAUUAAAUGGAAUAGCCCAUUAUAGUUGUGUCAUGGAUUUAAUAAUACCCCAAUGGCUUCGAAAUAGACAAUGGAUGGAAAAAGUCAUGAAUAUUGAACUUAUUUACCCUUUAAACACUUGAUCGUCAUGCGCAUACAGUGUAUUGUUUGUUUCCAGAACCC